RNAcentral lists this ribosomal RNA (301 nucleotides) under uncultured bacterium. Its description in RNAcentral is "partial 16S ribosomal RNA". It matches the Rfam family "Bacterial small subunit ribosomal RNA", at positions 509 to 807 of the family's 1533-position model. The record is from RNAcentral.
CAGCCGCCGCGGGAAUACGGAGGGGGCUAGCGCUGUUCGGAAUUACUGGGCGUAAAGCGCACGUAGGCGGCUUGGUAAGUUAGAGGUGAAAGCCCGGAGCUCAACUCCGGAAUUGCCUUUAAGACUGCCGAGCUAGUAGGUGAGAGAGGUAAGUGGAAUUCCGAGUGUAGAGGUGAAAUUCGUAGAUAUUCGGAAGAACACCAGUGGCGAAGGCGGCUUACUGGCUCAUUCUAGACGCUGAGGUGCGAAAGCGUGGGGAGCAAACAGGAUUAGAGACCCGCGUAGUCCCUGUCUCUUAUAC